CACGUAGGGCGCAAGCGUUGUCCGGAAUUAUUGGGCGUAAAGAGCUCGUAGGCGGUCUGUUGCGUCCGCUGUGAAAACCCGGGGCUUAACCCUGGGCUGGCAGUGGAUACGGACAGACUAGAGGUAGGUAGGGGAGAAUGGAAUUCCCGGUGUAGCGGUGAAAUGCGCAGAUAUCGGGAGGAACACCGGUGGCGAAGGCGGUUCUCUGGGCCUUACCUGACGCUGAGGAGCGAAAGCCAGGGGAGCGAACGGG
This 253-nucleotide ribosomal RNA is filed under the name uncultured bacterium. RNAcentral's name for it is "partial 16S ribosomal RNA". It matches the Rfam family "Bacterial small subunit ribosomal RNA", at positions 524 to 776 of the family's 1533-position model. The record is from RNAcentral.